RNAcentral lists this long non-coding RNA (1264 nucleotides) under Polistes fuscatus (common paper wasp). RNAcentral describes it as "uncharacterized LOC122514232, transcript variant X6". Lineage: Eukaryota; Metazoa; Arthropoda; Insecta; Hymenoptera; Vespidae. The record is from RNAcentral.
CUUUCGUUUUUUCUCUUACACAUACAGACACAUUCUCUUUCUCUCUCUCUCUCUUUCUCUCUCUCUCUCUUUUUCGUACUCUCUAUCCCAUAUACCAACGCGCACACGUAUACAAAAAAAUAACACACACAUACACUCAUAUAUACUCAUCACACACUUAUAUACUGACGCACGAAAACACUGGAAGAACGUAGUUCUUAACUCGUUCGUUCGUUCGUACGUUCGUUCGUACGUUCGUACGUACGUUCGUUCGUUCAUUAGUUCAUCAUUAGCAACAGUAGCAGUUAUUCUCUGUCAGGAUUCCAAUCUACGUUGUUUCCAUUAAAGAGAGAAAAGAUUAUUCGACUAAGCAUAUAUAAGAGUAUUUACGAAGGAACUCGUAGGAAAGAUCCGUUGACCGGUUUUGUCAAUCGUUAGAAGGUGUCAUCCGGUGUUCACCGCCGGGUUCUCCACGGAGGACCGCCAAGUCCACCGGUGGAGCAGAUCCGGCGGAAAUUGCCGUCCUUUUUAUCAUCGUUGUUCAUCAUCAUACUUUGAUCGUCAUUGUCAUCGUCAACGAGAUGGAAGGAAGAGGAUACAUGGUGUUAAUAUCAUCGUCAUAUUAUAAGAAAUCUAUCAUUUCGGGGUGGAUCGAUCUUACGAUAAAUGACGAAAUCUAUGCACCUAUUUUAUCUCGUUUCUUUUAAAAUUAUUGUAUUCAAAGUAUAAGAGAAGUGUGUAUAUUGUUUUAUUCGACAAUUUUCCCCAUUUACGAUCGAAAGUUUUCAUAACUUUAAUCGUUAACGUUAUAAGGUGGUGGUAGUGGUGAUGAUGGUGGUGGUGGUGUUGGUGGUAGUGGCGAUGAUGAUAUGGUAGAAUAUAGGUGAAGGAUACAAACCUUUAGAGAUAACCAUCCCCCGUUAUUUUGGAAAAGCUAUUGUUUGCGCGCACGGUUUCUAUCUGUGUAGAAUCAGUGAUGUUUUUAUCGUCGUGGAUGAAAAGUUAUACUUCGAAAGAUUACGAAUUAAAGCCCAAGUUUGAAGAGAAAAAAAUAUUCUAGAAAAAAGGGCUUUAAAAAGAAAGAAAGAAAGGGAGAGAGAAAAAGAGAGAGAGAGAGAGGGAGAGAGAGAAUAGAAAAGAAGAAAUAAAAAGAUUAUCAAAUUUAUUCUCGAAGAAUCGUGAUCGUUUGUUCUUUGUGAUAUUGAACUCUGGCUGUUAGUCGAAUAGUAACGCGGUUUAAGAUCGUUACGAUUUGAGUUUGUCGAUAAAGGGAAGAGGGAGAGGA